Molecule: ribosomal RNA, 526 nt
Filed under: uncultured bacterium
Lineage: Bacteria
Description: partial 16S ribosomal RNA
Rfam family: Bacterial small subunit ribosomal RNA
Source: RNAcentral
UGGGGAAUUUUGGACAAUGGGCGAAAGCCUGAUCCAGCAAUGCCGCGUGUGUGAAGAAGGCCUCGGGUUGUAAAGCACUUUUGUCCGGAAAGAAAUCCUUGGCUCUAAUACAGUCGGGGGAUGACGGUACCGGAAGAAUAAGCACCGGCUAACUACGUGCCAGCAGCCGCGGUAAUACGUAGGGUGCAAGCGUUAAUCGGAAUUACUGGGCGUAAAGCGUGCGCAGGCGGUUUGCUAAGACCGAUGUGAAAUCCCCGGGCUCAACCUGGGAACUGCAUUGGUGACUGGCAGGCUAGAGUAUGGCAGAGGGGGGUAGAAUUCCACGUGUAGCAGUGAAAUGCGUAGAGAUGUGGAGGAAUACCGAUGGCGAAGGCAGCCCCCUGGGCCAAUACUGACGCUCAUGCACGAAAGCGUGGGGAGCAAAACAGGAUUAGAUACCCUGGUAGUCCACGCCCUAAACGAUGUCAACUAGUUGUUGGGGAUUCAUUUCCUUAGUAACGUAGCUAACGCGUGAAGUUGACCGCCU